CCCUUAGACGUUCUGGGCCGCACGCGCGCUACACUGACCAGUGCAACAAGCAUCCGUCCUUGGCCGACAGGCCCGGGCAAUCUUUGAACGCUGGUCGUGAUGGGGAUAGACUUUUGCAAUUUUUGGUCUUCAACGAGGAAUUCCUAGUAAACGCAAGUCAUCAACUUGCAUUGAUUACGUCCCUGCCCUUUGUACACACCGCCCGUCGCACCUACCGAUUGAAUGGUCCGGUGAAAUCUCGGGACGGCGGCUUGGUCGCUUGCGUCCGACUGCUGAAACUUGAUUAAACCAUAUCAUUUAGAGGAAGGUGAAGUCGUAGCA
Molecule: ribosomal RNA, 321 nt
Filed under: uncultured eukaryote
Lineage: Eukaryota
Description: partial 18S ribosomal RNA
Rfam family: Eukaryotic small subunit ribosomal RNA
Source: RNAcentral